AAUUGUUGUGUUCAGAGUGUACAGAUGUGGAUAUAUAAGGGUUAGUAAACAGUACAAAACCCAUUUAAUAGAGAUUCCGUGAGAAACAUCUUAUUGUAGAUUGUUGGCUGUUUCAGAUCCAGCAAGCAACAAAGCAGCUGUAUUUUGAUCGCCAUACUCAUUAAAUGGGUUGUCUGUUUGCUCUUUACCAGCCCUUCUGCUAUCCACAUUCGUACUAGUUUGUCCACAUCAAUU
This 234-nucleotide microRNA precursor is filed under the name Picea abies (Norway spruce). Its description in RNAcentral is "miR946e stem-loop (pab-MIR946e)". Its record names the gene pab-MIR946e. The record is from miRBase by way of RNAcentral. Lineage: Eukaryota; Viridiplantae; Streptophyta; Pinopsida; Pinales; Pinaceae.